CCUACGGGGCGCAGCAGUGGGGAAUAUUGGACAAUGGGCGAAAGCCUGAUCCAGCCAUGCCGCGUGUGUGAAGAAGGCCUUCGGGUUGUAAAGCACUUUCAGUGGGGAAGAAAGCCUUGGGGCUAAUACCCUCGAGGAAGGACAUCACCCACAGAAGAAGCACCGGCUAACUCCGUGCCAGCAGCCGCGGUAAUACGGAGGGUGCGAGCGUUAAUCGGAAUUACUGGGCGUAAAGCGCGCGUAGGCGGUCUGAUAAGCCGGUUGUGAAAGCCCCGGGCUCAACCUGGGAACGGCAUCCGGAACUGUCAGGCUAGAGUGCAGGAGAGGAAGGUAGAAGUCCCGGUGUAGCGGUGAAAUGCGUAGAGAUCGGGAGGAAUACCAGUGGCGAAGGCGGCCUUCUGGACUGACACUGACGCUGAGGUGCGAAAGCGUGGGUAGCAAACAGGAUUAGAUACCCCGGUAGUC
RNAcentral lists this ribosomal RNA (465 nucleotides) under Vreelandella stevensii. Its description in RNAcentral is "partial 16S ribosomal RNA". It matches the Rfam family "Bacterial small subunit ribosomal RNA", at positions 338 to 795 of the family's 1533-position model. Lineage: Bacteria; Pseudomonadati; Pseudomonadota; Gammaproteobacteria; Oceanospirillales; Halomonadaceae. The record is from RNAcentral.